This 110-nucleotide non-coding RNA is filed under the name Indibacter alkaliphilus. RNAcentral's name for it is "SAM-I sequence". It matches the Rfam family "SAM riboswitch aptamer (S box leader)". Rfam says of the family: The SAM riboswitch is found upstream of a number of genes which code for proteins involved in methionine or cysteine biosynthesis in Gram-positive bacteria. The SAM riboswitch acts at the level of transcription termination control. The predicted structure consists of a complex stem-loop region followed by a single stem loop terminator region. The record is from RNAcentral. RNAcentral also lists the same sequence under 1 other name. Lineage: Bacteria; Pseudomonadati; Bacteroidota; Cytophagia; Cytophagales; Cyclobacteriaceae.
GAUUUAUACAGAAGAGGCGAGAGACAGGCUCAUUGACCCUCUGGCAACCUGGAAAAUCCAAGGUGCCAAUUCCUGCCGGUAGAUAAUAUUGUCUCCCGGACAUAUAAAUU